This 254-nucleotide ribosomal RNA is filed under the name uncultured bacterium. RNAcentral describes it as "partial 16S ribosomal RNA". It matches the Rfam family "Bacterial small subunit ribosomal RNA", at positions 79 to 334 of the family's 1533-position model. The record is from RNAcentral.
CUUUCUUUGCUGGCGACCGGCGCACGGGUGAGUAACACGUAUCCAACCUGCCCUUUACUCGGGGAUAGCCUUCCGAAAGAAAGAUUAAUACCCGAUAGUAUAAUGAUUCCGCAUGGUUUCAUUAUUAAAGGAUUCCGGUAAAGGAUGGGGAUGCGUUCCAUUAGGUUGUUGGUGAGGUAACGGCUCACCAAGCCUUCGAUGGAUAGGGGUUCUGAGAGGAAGGUCCCCCACAUUGGAACUGAGACACGGUCCAA